CAGUUAACGGGACCGCCAGCAAGGGACAGCUCGCGCGCGGGUCAUAAUCAGCGUCCUUUUCUUUUUAAAUUUAACCGACCGACCAUUAAAUUCGGUUAAAGGAGAAACUGAGAGUAAACUGACGUCGCUGAAUUAACGGGGAGGAAAACAGCCGGCUCUGUAAUUCCUCGGGUACAUCUGGGUGACGUUUUCCCCGAGGUCAUGACUAAGUUUGACUCUUCAAGUUAAGACUGUCUAAAGGAAAACCUCCACAAUACCGGUAUUUGACUUAUAAAAAAAUCUUUUAACAACUCUGGGGCUGCAUGAGACAUCCAAAGAGGUACACCACAAACGACUGGCAGUGUCUUAAAAAAGAAGGUCCUACAGCAAAGGGAUGCAAAACAGACAUAUGACAUCUCAGUAAAGAGAACUGAAAAACCAGCAGACUCUUUCACUCAAUUU
Plectropomus leopardus (leopard coralgrouper) is the source of this 441-nucleotide non-coding RNA. Lineage: Eukaryota; Metazoa; Chordata; Actinopteri; Perciformes; Serranidae. The record is from RefSeq and is a predicted model, not a curated record.